UACGUAGGGUGCAAGCGUUGUCCGGAAUUAUUGGGCGUAAAGAGCUCGUAGGCGGUUUGUCGCGUCUGCUGUGAAAUCUCGGGGCUUAACUCCGAAACUGCAUUUGAUACUGGCGUGCUUGAGGACUGGAGAGGAGACUGGAAUUCACGGUGUAGCAGUGAAAUGCGUAGAGAUCAUGAGGAAGACCAGUGGCGAAGGCGGGUCUCUGGACAGUUCCUGACACUGAGGCACGAAGGCCAGGGGAGCAAACGGG
RNAcentral lists this ribosomal RNA (253 nucleotides) under uncultured bacterium. Its description in RNAcentral is "partial 16S ribosomal RNA". It matches the Rfam family "Bacterial small subunit ribosomal RNA", at positions 524 to 776 of the family's 1533-position model. The record is from RNAcentral.